Molecule: long non-coding RNA, 243 nt
Filed under: Dasypus novemcinctus (nine-banded armadillo)
Lineage: Eukaryota; Metazoa; Chordata; Mammalia; Cingulata; Dasypodidae
Description: lncRNA (ENSDNOG00000051690.1)
Source: RNAcentral
AGAUGGAUAACGAAAGAAUAACCUUCACAGAACAGAAUCCGUUCAAGUACCCAAAGAGGAAGCAAAUCAAACCUAAGGGCACUAAUUGCUCCUUUUCAGACCCUGAGCAGGAAAUAACGUUUGUGGUAGAAUUAAGUCUUCAAAAUGCCUCUCAAAGUCCUCAAGGGAAUGACAAGAAUUCACCUUGCCAAGAGCUCAAGGUGUGUGGAUAUGGUAUUCCAGUAUGAAUUCUGAAGAGCAAUG